UAGGGAAUCUUCCACAAUGGACGCAAGUCUGAUGGAGCAACGCCGCGUGAGUGAAGAAGGCUUUCGGUCGUAAACUCUGUUAUUGAAGAAGAACGUGUGUGACAGUAACUGGUCAUGCAGUGACGGUAUUCAAUCAGAAAGUCACGGCUAACUACGUGCCAGCAGCCGCGGUAAUACGUAGGUGGCAAGCGUUGUCCGGAUUUAUUGGGCGUAAAGCGAGUGCAGGCGGUCUUUUAAGUCUGAUGUGAAAGCCUUCGGCU
RNAcentral lists this ribosomal RNA (260 nucleotides) under uncultured bacterium. RNAcentral's name for it is "partial 16S ribosomal RNA". It matches the Rfam family "Bacterial small subunit ribosomal RNA", at positions 355 to 609 of the family's 1533-position model. The record is from RNAcentral.